Molecule: ribosomal RNA, 812 nt
Filed under: uncultured archaeon
Lineage: Archaea
Description: bacterial SSU rRNA
Rfam family: Archaeal small subunit ribosomal RNA
Source: RNAcentral
ACUGCUCAGUAACACGUGGCUAACGUGCCCUUUGGGACGGAGAUACCCCCGGGAAACUGGGGCUAAUCCCCGAUAGGUGAAGAACUCUGGAAUGAAUCUCCAUCCAAAAGACGUUUACGUUAUGCUCGUAGGCGCCGCCCAAGGAUGGGGCCGCGUCCGAUCAGGUUGUUGGUGAGGUAACGGCUCACCAAGCCUUUUACCGGUGCGGGCCGUGAGAGCGGGAGCCCGGAGAUGGGCACUGAGACAAGGGCCCAGGCCCUACGGGGCGCAGCAGUCGCGCAAACUUUGCAAUACACGAAAGUGUGACAGGGCUAUCCCGAGUGCCAUCCGCUGAGGAAGGCUUUUACCCAGUUUAGAAAGCUGGGAGAAUAAGGAGAGGGCAAGACUGGUGUCAGCCGCCGCGGUAAUACCAGCUCUCCGAGUGGUGUGGAUGUUUAUUGGGCCUAAAGCAUCCGUAGCUGGCUGGGCAAGUCCCCUGUUAAAUCCACCGAUUUAAUCGUUGGUGUGCGGGGGAUACUGCUCGGCUAGGGGACGGGAGAGGCCGACGGUAUUUUCGGGGUAGGGGUGAAAUCCUAUAAUCCCGGAAGGACCACCAGUGGCGAAGGCUGUCGGCUAGAACGCGCCCGACGGUGAGGGAUGAAAGCUGGGGGAGCGAACCGGAUUAGAUACCCGGGUAGUCCCAGCUGUAAACGAUGCAGGCUAGGUGUUUGGACGGCUACGUGCCGUUCUAGUGCCGCAGGGAAGCCGUUAAGCCUGCCGCCUGGGGAGUACGGUCGCAAGGCUGAAACUUAAAGGAAUUGGCGGGGGAGCAC